Molecule: long non-coding RNA, 974 nt
Organism: Zophobas morio
Lineage: Eukaryota; Metazoa; Arthropoda; Insecta; Coleoptera; Tenebrionidae
Exons: 3
Source: RefSeq, a predicted model, not a curated record
CAAAGGGAAUCUUUGGUUUAUUUACUACUCGACUUAAUUAAAAUGAAACGGUUUUAGCGAUCAAACAAAACAAGUUAUAUUAAACGUGUUGGAUUAUCAGAAAGAAACUAUGAUGUGCGAUUUAAGGAAAAAAACAGAACUGGGGCCGAAAUGUUAAAAAUUUCUGAAAAAUCUUAAUAUAAUUUGCAAAAAAGAACAGUUUAAGUGAUACGGAGUACAAAGAGAAUAGAUUUAAUGUUAGUUAGGGAAAUUACGUGUAAAACGAUUGAUUCUAACGAACACGUAACUAUUAAGUCACUUCAUGCUAGAGUUGUGGAAGAGAUACCGGACUUUAAAUUUGGACCCAGGAUACUAAACACAUGGGUUAGAAAAAUUGGUUUUAAAUCUUAUAAAAUUAAUAUAAUAAUAAUCGAUUGUUUCUAAUGGAGAGACCAUCCAUUAAGCCAAGAAGACCAAAAUUUUUGCGUGAAUAUCAAGCACCACAAAAAACACAAAAUUAUGAAGACCCAUUUUUCUGGAUGAAACAUGGAUAUUUAGUAAAGGUAGUUUAUAUAAAAAACAUGGCAAGACGGUUCAACACAAAGUGCAAUUAAAAAAAUGGGAGAAGGAUGUAGAUAUGUUGUAUACAUAUAGUUCACGCUGGCAAUUAUACGAUUUACUGAAGGAGCGUCUAUAAUUUUAAGGCAAAAACAAAAUCUGGCGAUUAUCAUGAUGACAUGAACCAGGAAAAUUUUGAAAACUGGUUUAAAGAGCAAUUAAUAUCCAAUUUUCUAGAACCGUCUUUUAUUAUAGAAAGAAAUUCCUCGAAAGAGUGGGUCAAAGAAAAAAAUGGUGUCAUGGUUAAACACAAAAAAAGAUAGGUUGUCCUGAAAAACCGAUAAAUGAUAAGAUUUGGAAUAUUGUGAGCAAUAGACUACCAAAAAAUUGUAUCAUUUAGAUCAGUAAACUCUAGAAUAGCGAUAUUAUGUUCUAAG